AUUGAAACACCGGUUCCCGUACAAUCACCAAAGUUAAGCAACAUCGAGACUGUUCAAUACCUAGAUGGGUAACCUCUUGGGAAUACCAUGUGCUGUAAG
This is a non-coding RNA of Acanthosepion pharaonis, 99 nucleotides long. The record is from the annotation of a GenBank genome assembly. NCBI's taxonomy places the organism in Eukaryota, Metazoa, Mollusca, Cephalopoda, Sepiida, Sepiidae.